Molecule: ribosomal RNA, 474 nt
Filed under: uncultured bacterium
Lineage: Bacteria
Description: partial 16S ribosomal RNA
Rfam family: Bacterial small subunit ribosomal RNA
Source: RNAcentral
GAUGAACGCUAGCGGCAGGCCUAACACAUGCAAGUCGAGGGAGGAGCCUUCGGGCUUCGACCGGCGUACGGGGGCGUAACGCGUAUACAAUCAGCCAUUUACAUAGGGAUAGCGCGUAGAAAUAUGGAUUAAUACCUAAUGGUAUAUAGAGGUGGCAUCACCUUGAUAUUAAUGCUGAGGCGGUGAAAGAUGAGUAUGCGUUCUAUUAGCUAGUUGGAGAGGUUACGGCUGUGCAAGGCGACGAUAGUUAGGGGUUCUGGGAGGGAUAUCCCCCACACUGGUACUGGGCUCCGGACCAGUCUCCUACGGGCGGCAGCAGUGCGGAAUAUUGGACAAUGGUCGGUUGCCUGAUCCAGCCAAGCCGCGUGCAGGAAGACGGCCUUCUGGAUUGUAACCUGCUUUUGCAGAGGAAGAAUAAGGACUACGCGUAGUUUGAUGACGGUACUCUGCGAAUAAGCAUCGGCUAACUCCGUG